UGGGCGGUAUCCUGAUAGAACUGCACCGAAUAUUUUUUAAAACCUGAUAUGAUAUCUGCCUAGAUCCAAGAAAUGGACCGGGACAGAGGG
RNAcentral lists this non-coding RNA (90 nucleotides) under Bacillus massilinigeriensis. RNAcentral describes it as "pan motif". It matches the Rfam family "pan motif". Lineage: Bacteria; Bacillati; Bacillota; Bacilli; Caryophanales; Bacillaceae. The record is from RNAcentral.